This 400-nucleotide ribosomal RNA is filed under the name uncultured bacterium. RNAcentral describes it as "bacterial SSU rRNA". It matches the Rfam family "Bacterial small subunit ribosomal RNA", at positions 355 to 772 of the family's 1533-position model. The record is from RNAcentral.
UGGGGGAUAUUGCACAAUGGGGGGAACCCUGAUGCAGCGACGCCGCGUGGGUGAAGAAGCGCCUCGGCGCGUAAAGCCCUGUCAGCAGGGAAGAAAAUGACGGUACCUGAAGAAGAAGCCCCGGCUAACUACGUGCCAGCAGCCGCGGUAAUACGUAGGGGGCAAGCGUUAUCCGGAUUUACUGGGUGUAAAGGGGGCGCAGACGGCGAUGCAAGCCAGGAGUGAAAGCCCGGGGCCCAACCCCGGGACUGCUCUUGGAACUGCGUGGCUGGAGUGCAGGAGGGGCAGGCGGAAUUCCUGGUGUAGCGGUGAAAUGCGUAGAUAUCAGGAGGAACACCGGUGGCGAAGGCGGCCUGCUGGACUGCAACUGACGUUGAGGCCCGAAAGCGUGGGGAGCAAA